GGCAAACCUGCAAAAUCAGCAAGGGGUCAAAUACUUAUUUCCCCCACUGUAUACAAGAAUAUGAAUUUAUCUCUCUUCAGGAACUACCUAACAUAAUCGCAACCACCCUCACCAGCAGCCCCUUCCUUCAUUGUCUAAUUAAGGUAACGCAUGAGUUGGAGGGCUUGUGCUGUAACUGUAACUUCUAGAUCUACUCAUCCUGUUUCCUGAAAUGGCAGACCCUGCCAAAAACUACUGUAUGUACAGAGGGGACACAGAUAUCCUGUUGUUUGCUUUGCGCCACAGUUGAAAUAUCGGCAGCAAUCUUGUAUUGUGUGUGUGAUUCCUCUGAAGUCACUCUUGUUGCUCUUGUGUGUGUGUGUGAUGAUAUUGAUUGAUUUGAUAGAGCUGGUAAUUGUAAGUCUUCCAAUUGGACCCAGUCAUGAGCUAAAGGAGAUCUGUGACCUUGCUGUCAAAGUGUGUUCUAUCAUCCAUAUGAUUUUUACAAUUGCUGUGAUCUUUACUGGUGUUAUCAAGACUGACAGUUGCAGUAAGAACAGGACAGAGUCUUGGCUUCUGAAAGUGAUGGUCGCUUACACAGCGUGGAUUUUCCUGUUUGUAAUUUGGGUUUUCGUAUUCACUGCUCAUGGAAAAGCAAUACUGGGGGGAAGCAAAAUAGGGAGUUUAAAAACAGGUGAGGGAUGGAGGCAACAAAGAAGAAAGAAGACGCUCAGUGCAGCCAAUGUGAUUGUCACCGCUGUCUCAGUAAUCCUCGUCAUUGGAAACAUGUUCUUCGCUGCAGCUGUCAUUGCUGGGAUAUUUGGGUGUCUGGAAAAAUAGGCCUGUUCUGGUACUUUGCUUGCAUGUGAUUCACAGUUUUGUACAUAUGAUACCAGUACAACCUAACAGUUAGACUAAACAAACUAGAUAGUGUUGUUAUUAACAUAUUACAUAUCAUAAAAUGGGUUGUUCAUUUUCCAAGGAAGUUUAAUUGUUAGGUCAUAUAACAUCUUAUGAGAGUUAAGCCUGUCAACAAGGUGAAACUGCAAAUAUUUGCUAAAGAUCCACUUGCCUAUAAUUACUGUAUGUAUCACCUUGUGCCAGACAUACCAGUCGUCAUCAUCAGUUGGGGAAUGUUUUUAAUGUUGUGAUCAUGUCCUCAUGAGUAAUGUGUGGAAUGUGCUUAUCUUAUAAAAAACAAGCCUUGCUAUAAUGUGUGUGAAAAUAAUGUGUCAUAGUGAUCGAUAUGAAUUGAGAGAGAUAAUUAACUUCAUUUUGAAAAGAUAUCAAGUUUUACCAUAAGUUGUCUGAAUAUAAUUAUAUCAGAAUGUGUCCAGUACUAUAAACAGCUUUUUUAUAUAAGUGCAUGAUGCCAUUCAACUUAAUUGAAAUUCAUUGUCUGUUUUUGCUUUCAACAUACAAGAUUUCAAUACAAGGACUCACCAUAUAUGACCUCUUGCAAUAGCAAUACUUGCAAAUCUACACAGUAAAACCAAUCUGUGUUUUGUGUUACAAUGUUUUGAGUACAAAAAGAGAAAUUCCCAAGUACAAGUCAAACCCAUGUGAAUUGUUGAACCUGAAUUAUUAAUGUGUAAAUUACAGUUAUGUAAACCAGUUUUAAUAUAUUUUACAUUCAAACAUUUGGACAUUUUAAAAUCUAGUUAUGUUAGUGUCACCAGGAAGUUGUGAUUUAUACAUGAUGAUUCAUUUUUAUGGUCUUUUUGAAGGAAGCAAACUUCAGCUGUGUCCACGUUCAGUUAAUAAACUUUCUACUACUGA
Molecule: long non-coding RNA, 1758 nt
Organism: Micropterus dolomieu (smallmouth bass)
Lineage: Eukaryota; Metazoa; Chordata; Actinopteri; Centrarchiformes; Centrarchidae
Exons: 7
Source: RefSeq, a predicted model, not a curated record